This 301-nucleotide ribosomal RNA is filed under the name uncultured bacterium. RNAcentral's name for it is "partial 16S ribosomal RNA". It matches the Rfam family "Bacterial small subunit ribosomal RNA", at positions 509 to 809 of the family's 1533-position model. The record is from RNAcentral.
CAGUCGCCACGGUAAUACGAAGGGGGCUAGCGUUGUUCGGAAUUACUGGGCGUAAAGCGCACGUAGGCGGAUAUUUAAGUCAGGGGUGAAAUCCCGCAGCUCAACUGCGGAACUGCCUUUGAUACUGGGUAUCUUGAGUAUGGAAGAGGUUAGUGGAAUUGCGAGUGUAGAGGUGAAAUUCGUAGAUAUUCGCAGGAACACCAGUGGCGAAGGCGGCUAACUGGUCCAUAACUGACGCUGAGGUGCGAAAGCGUGGGGAGCAAACAGGAUUAGAUACCCCAGUAGUCCCUGUCUCUUAUAA